GAGGUUGUGGCUCAGCAGUAGGGUGCUCGCCUAGCAUGUGUGAGACCCUGGGUUCAAUCCUCAGCACCACA
Molecule: transfer RNA, 71 nt
Filed under: Marmota monax (woodchuck)
Lineage: Eukaryota; Metazoa; Chordata; Mammalia; Rodentia; Sciuridae
Description: tRNA.Ala
Source: RNAcentral